GAGGUUGUAGACCAGCACGAAGGUCUUGGCGCCGCUACCGCCGAAGUCGAUGCCGAGCGACGGCCCCGUCCAGUAGACCGGGCGAUCGCCC
Molecule: transfer RNA, 91 nt
Filed under: Sphingomonas prati
Lineage: Bacteria; Pseudomonadati; Pseudomonadota; Alphaproteobacteria; Sphingomonadales; Sphingomonadaceae
Description: tRNA-Ser
Source: RNAcentral